GAUGAACGCUGGCGGCGUGCCUAAUACAUGCAAGUCGAGCGAACGGACGAGAAGCUUGCUUCUCUGAUGUUAGCGGCGGACGGGUGAGUAACACGUGGAUAACCUACCUAUAAGACUGGGAUAACUUCGGGAAACCGGAGCUAAUACCGGAUAAUAUUUUGAACCGCAUGGUUCAAAAGUGAAAGACGGUCUUGCUGUCACUUAUAGAUGGAUCCGCGCUGCAUUAGCUAGUUGGUAAGGUAACGGCUUACCAAGGCAACGAUGCAUAGCCGACCUGAGAGGGUGAUCGGCCACACUGGAACUGAGACACGGUCCAGACUCCUACGGGAGGCAGCAGUAGGGAAUCUUCCGCAAUGGGCGAAAGCCUGAGGGAGCAACGCCGCGUGAGUGAUGAAGGUCUUCGGAUCGUAAAACUCUGUUAUUAGGGAAGAACAUAUGUGUAAGUAACUGUGCACAUCUUGACGGUACCUAAUCAGAAAGCCACGGCUAACUACGUG
RNAcentral lists this ribosomal RNA (497 nucleotides) under uncultured bacterium. Its description in RNAcentral is "partial 16S ribosomal RNA". It matches the Rfam family "Bacterial small subunit ribosomal RNA", at positions 28 to 507 of the family's 1533-position model. The record is from RNAcentral.